This 250-nucleotide long non-coding RNA is filed under the name Mytilus galloprovincialis (Mediterranean mussel). Lineage: Eukaryota; Metazoa; Mollusca; Bivalvia; Mytilida; Mytilidae. The record is from RNAcentral.
GAUUGCGGUAUUCUUUAGUAAUGUGUGGCUCUUUGUUAUCCGUGGAGACAGGGGUGUGGUAAAACAAUUGACCAACAUACUAGGGAAAACAGCAUUCGACAAUCCUCGAUAGAAUCCGCUACUGUCUAUCCAUACGGAAUUGGCCGAGUUGAGACGAAUGGGGAAAAUAGAUGUUGGCUAAUGGUGCAAAGUUUUUUUUUUCUGAGAGUCGAUUUCAAAUAUAACCAUGACUACAAUACAUAUAAUUUGU